This 401-nucleotide ribosomal RNA is filed under the name uncultured bacterium. Its description in RNAcentral is "bacterial SSU rRNA". It matches the Rfam family "Bacterial small subunit ribosomal RNA", at positions 358 to 775 of the family's 1533-position model. The record is from RNAcentral.
GGAAUCUUGCGCAAUGGACGGCAGUCCGACGCAGCGACGCCGCGUGGGUGAAGACGGCCUUCGGGUUGUAAAGCCCUUUUCUGGGGGAAGAGAUAGGACGGUACUCCAGGAAUAAGUGUCGGCUAACCACGUGCCAGCAGCCGCGGUAAUACGUAGGACACGAGCGUUAUCCGGAUUUACUGGGCGUAAAGCGCCUGUAGGCGGUUCUUCAAGUCGUUUGUGAAAGCCCUGGGCUCAACUCGGGGAGGCCAAGCGAUACUGGAGGACUUGAGGGUGACAGAGGGGAGUGGAAUUUCCGGUGUAGCGGUAAAAUGCGCAGAUAUCGGGAAGAACACCAGUGGCGAAGGCGGCUCCCUGGGUCACACCAGACGCUGAGAGGCGAAAGCUAGGGGAGCGAACAG